This is a long non-coding RNA of Myxocyprinus asiaticus (Chinese sucker), 277 nucleotides long. RefSeq lists it as uncharacterized. The transcript has 3 exons. The record is from RefSeq and is a predicted model, not a curated record. Lineage: Eukaryota; Metazoa; Chordata; Actinopteri; Cypriniformes; Catostomidae.
GUAAUCUAACCUAACAAGUUGGGUUGUUAAUUUAAACCCAGCAAAAGCCAGACAUUUCUAAACAUGCCCAAGUGUGCCACGCGUUUUCUGAAGAAAUUUACAGACAGCAACUUGGAGAUGCUGUCAGAGUGGAUUCUCAUUUUCACCUCACAAUAAUGAAUGAACGCCUAACACAAGACCUGUGUGCUAACACGGCAGCCUCCACCACCCCACCACCACCAGUUGAGUCCUGUCCUGCACGGGGGUAGGCUCCUCGCCCCUGCCUCAUAUCUCCAGC